This 68-nucleotide transfer RNA is filed under the name Marmota monax (woodchuck). Its description in RNAcentral is "tRNA.Ala". The record is from RNAcentral. Lineage: Eukaryota; Metazoa; Chordata; Mammalia; Rodentia; Sciuridae.
GGAUUGUGGCUCAGUGGUAGAGUGCUUGCCUAGCACAUGUGAGGCACUGGGUUCCAUCCUCAGCACCA